This 431-nucleotide ribosomal RNA is filed under the name uncultured bacterium. RNAcentral's name for it is "partial 16S ribosomal RNA". It matches the Rfam family "Bacterial small subunit ribosomal RNA", at positions 29 to 507 of the family's 1533-position model. The record is from RNAcentral.
AACGAACGCUGGCGGCAGGCUUAACACAUGCAAGUCGAACGCUCCGCAAGGGGAGUGGCAGACGGGUGAGUAACGCGUGGGAACAUACCCUUUUCUACGGAAUAGCUCUGGGAAACUGGAAUUAAUACCGUAUACGCCCUACGGGGGAAAGAUUUAUCGGGGAAGGAUUGGCCCGCGUUGGAUUAGCUAGUUGGUGGGGUAAAGGCCUACCAAGGCGACGAUCCAUAGCUGGUCUGAGAGGAUGAUCAGCCACAUUGGGACUGAGACACGGCCCAAACUCCUACGGGAGGCAGCAGUGGGGAAUAUUGGACAAUGGGCGCAAGCCUGAUCCAGCCAUGCCGCGUGAGUGAUGAAGGCCUUAGGGUUGUAAAGCUCUUUCACCGAUGAAGAUAAUGACGGUAGUCGGAGAAGAAGCCCCGGCUAACUUCGUG